UACAGAGGUCCCAAGCGUUGUUCGGAUUCAUUGGGCGUAAAGGGUGCGUAGGCGGCGCGGUAAGUCGGGUGUGAAAUCUCGGGGCUUAACUCCGAAACUGCAUUCGAUACUGCCGUGCUUGAGGACUGGAGAGGAGACUGGAAUUUACAGUGUAGCGGUGAAAUGCGUAGAUAUCGUAAGGAAGACCAGUGGCGAAGGCGGGUCUCUGGACAGUUCCUGACGCUGAGGCACGAAGGCCAGGGGGGCAAACGGG
Molecule: ribosomal RNA, 253 nt
Filed under: uncultured bacterium
Lineage: Bacteria
Description: partial 16S ribosomal RNA
Rfam family: Bacterial small subunit ribosomal RNA
Source: RNAcentral